Non-coding RNA from Meleagris gallopavo (turkey), 5095 nucleotides. The record is from RefSeq and is a predicted model, not a curated record. NCBI's taxonomy places the organism in Eukaryota, Metazoa, Chordata, Aves, Galliformes, Phasianidae.
CAGUCUCUCCCUGUCACACUUGUGCUCCAGAUCCUCCCCAGAAUCAUUAAGGUUGGAAAAGACCUCUCAGAUCACCACAUCCCUCUCCUCUGAGGCACCAGAACUUCUGGCAGUUGUCUCAGAUGGGCACCAAAGCCAAACAUUCAGAAGAAAGCAGCGUGUGGCAGCCGUCCCGUGCGGAGUGACCGCUGCUUGCUGUCCUCACCCACAUGUUCUGCCAUUUCCACAGAAAGCUGCUGCAAGUGGAACAGCCACGCUUGCUCUAUGAACUGUUUUAUCGCAUCCCGGCUGUAUCUCGUUACAUUAUUCAUCGUCUCUGUGGAGCUGUGAAAUCCCCAAACACCUUAUGUGUCACGAGGAUUUCAGGCUCGUGUGCGUGAACAAAAGCACUGAAACAAGUGAGAAAGCAGCAGAGAAGCAAUCCAAAGAAGAGCAGUGACCUGCAAUCAUACACCCAGAACAAAUCCUCUGCUGCGGAACUCACGCUGUCUGCAAGGUCUCUGCAGGUGCACUGCGCUGUUGCUGCCACAGUGCACCAUCAUUUCCUGUGUGACAGUCUUUAAGACCACCACAAGGUGUGAAAGUUUCGGGUUUUUCUCAGCAGAGAAUGCACUUUGCUAACACAAAACCCCAUGCCAAGAGCUAGACAUUUUAACACACUGAUUUAACCCCUUUUUGAUACGUCUUAUUUACAAAACAUUGCAACAACACCGUAGCCAAAACGAACACACAAGCCCACGAAGGUUAAUUGGUGGUUGCACGUGCAGACACCUCCUAAGCCCAUGCAGUUGAUGGAAGCACCUUGGCCUGGAUGCACACCGCAGGGCUCGCAGCACGCUGGGAGGAAAUCCUUCCCGGGAUGGUUGGAGGCAGUGCCUGCUCCCAGCACCACUCGGGGAAGCCUUAAUGAAAAGCAGCUCAUCAGCAGUUACGUAACCUAAUGAUAAUCCGGCUCAGGCCAGGCAAUGCUUAAAGCCACAGCGUCUCUCUGCUGUGACCUAUUUUAUGCUCAGUGCGAGGGCAAAAGUAUGCGGUGCGUAACUUCGCUGGGUCUCGUAGGUCGAGUCAUUGCCUGUCGGUAGGAAAGCCCCUCGCAUGCAUUUCUUCUGCUUUUUGGAUGCGAAGAGACCACUCUGGGUUUGUCAGUGGCUUUUUAUGGCAUUGGUUCCAGGCACAGGCACAGCACAGAGCAAAUUGUAAACAAUUAGAAGGAAAACACUUAAUGUUCCGCAGGAAACUCGGAGUGCUUUUAAUUUUAGCUUCAGAAGCUGCAGAGGGUCUGGGGGUAUCUCACAAAGCACUCCUAAUGCUGUGUCGAACCGCACAGAAAGCUUUUGUGUUUUUAUUAGACCUCAGAGACCAAAAAUGUAUGCUUCCACAUUCCAGGGUCAUAUUUACAUUUGACUUAAGAAAUUCAUUACGACUGCGCUGGCAUAACUGAGACACACAAGUGGGCAGCCCCCGCCGCUGGUUUUUACCUCUCAGUCUACAGAAAUAUCAACAAGAGAUUAAAGGCAGAGAUGUUGAUUCAGAUCUCAGCAUUUAAUCUGACCACAGAUGGUGUCAAAGAGGGACAGCCAUGCAAAAUAGCAACAGAUUUUUUCCUAAACAAUCACUUUUUUGUUUAACAGAGAGCAUGUCGCCCAAUUUAAAAUGUAGAGGAAAUCUCAGUUUUCUACAAUCCUCCUCCGAGAGAGCUUUGAGGUGUUAUGAAUGGGCUGAUUUCUGUUAAUGAUUAAUAACGUGUUUAUAUUUCUCUGCUUAACUAAAGUUAUUAUUGUAACUAUUAUUAAUUCCUAUCUUCAGUAGGGUAAAUAUGCCAUUCCUCAUGACGCCGGACAAGUUAAUGACACAGCUGUUUGCAGAAAGGAGGUUGUAACAUUGAGCUGAGCAGAAGAAAUACUGCCUGUUAUGUAGAAUACCAUCGAUUCUUGUUAUGAAUUGUCCUGAAUAUUCUUCUUAUCCCUCAAAGAUUCCUCUGUCUGCUCAGCUCCAGGCCUCAGUGAGAUCCUGUGCAGUUAAUUAGGUCCUUACUUGUAGCAGAGACUCCUGCAGAGGCGGAUGCUUUAACCUGGAUAGCAGAUGCACCAGUAGUGAUUAGAAAUGCAAGAAAAACACGGGAAGCAAUCAAAGAGAGAGGAAAGAGGUAAAGGUGAUGCUUUGCAGGAUAAGUGGGAAGCAGUGCUUGCAGUUAAAUGGGAUGAACUACAUCAUAUCAAAUCAAGGUACAAAGGGGAAAUGGAGACCCUUGUCACAACCUGAAAUUUAUAGAUCACAAAUGAAAUUUUCUCUGUUUUGUCCUUCAUAGGUAGCACAGAAGAGGAAUGGGGAUCCAUUGCAUGAUUCUAUGAGUCUACGAUUCUAUGAUUCAACUUUUUUCUCUGCUUUGGUUGCUUUUCUUCCCCAUUUACGCGUAUGGAACAACUUCGCCUGUUGGUCAGCUGCUGUGGUUGCAGAGAGGAGCAAGAAGGGAGCUGGAGCAGAGUGAGGGCAGGGAAAAUUGGUCCAAUUCAGCAGCAGUUCCAGCCUCAAACACAGGCAGCUCUGUGUGUCUCCUGCUAUCAGUCUGUGCUAUUCCUGUAGCAAGCUGGAUCCCUGAGACUGGUAAUGCUUUGGGGUGCUGGCACCCAAACUCUGAGCUCAUGAGGGUCCUGUGUGAGGUUGGUGAAUCACAGAAUCAUGAAAUUAUGAGUCAUAGGGGUUGAGAGGGAUCUCUGGAGACCACCUAGUCCAACCCCCUGCUAAAGCAUGUUCUCUGCAGUCGGUACAAGUGGCAAUAACCUGACUUGGAGAGGUUGUCCAUGCUCUGACUGGCUGAAAAUUACUGCAAAUGAGAAUUCCAGAGGAGCACUGUCAUCGGAGUGACCAGAGAUGUGAAAGGAGAAUAACAUUCCCAUUGAAAAUGAAUGUAAAAUCCCACAGCAGAGUGGAAACUGAAACUGGGAAUGGGAAGUGCUCAGACUGUGCCUCUGUCCUUUUGGUAUAAAGGAUCCUCCCAGAGCAAGCAGCAACCUGUCCUUUCAGCAAUGCAAGGCUUCCCCUCAGUGGCAACAAGGCAGCAGGGUGUCCUGCUGCUCCACCACAAUAAAAGCAUUUUGUCUUUUUUUUUUUUUUUUCAAAGGCAAAGUCCAGUAAAAACGUGGCUCUGAAGUAAAGGAAAUAUUUACAGCAGAGGCUGCUGGCUGUGCUGGGUGUAAUGGUAUACAGCACUAUGAGAGGCCAAAGUGAUACUGCUUUAUGAGCCAAGAGUUUUUAACUCCUUUGGUAUAGGAGACAGCUGCCUACACAAGGGACUUAGGAAACAAAUGAAACUUGAGCAGUGUCAUAUUGCGAUCAUACAAUAUGGACAAAAGAGACAAAAAUGAGUAUUAUUUUUUUACAAAAGAAGGAUUUACUGGAGAACAGCAGUGCUAAAGCUCAUACCCAAGUGCAGCUGCUGAGAUUGCUGACAGCGCAGGAGGCUCUCCCAGAAAUGAGGUCUUCCUGCAAAAAAAUCCCAUCCCCAUCAACAUCUAUUCUCUAAAAUCUGAUGUCCAGGUUGAUUUAAGUUCCAACCUUGGAAAUGAAAUGGGACCAUGGUAUAGGAGACAUGUGAGCUCAGAUUAUGCAUACAAAAAAGACGACAGCCAAAUUGUCUAUGUAUGGGCAGACUGCAUUUGCCUUACCCCAAAAGAUUUACCAGUUGCUAUGGUUACUCAAUAUUACAGCUCAAUAGAUUGGUAAUGUGAACUGAUAGAUCUAGAAAUACACUGCAACAUGGAAUUAAAGAGGUCCUGCUGAAACACAGCCUGAAAAAUCCUGUGCUCCUGAUGAGGCGGAAACAUUGUGCUGCUGACGGGCUGGUCAUGGUUCCCAGAUGCAUGGCAGGGGUCCCACCAAAUAGCAGUGAGAGAUGUGUGCUUGGUGUCUUGUGCAGCCAGAGGUGUAAAACACACGUCAAAGGGAUAAUAAAACACAGUCCAAACCGUCUCGCAUGGGAUCUCUUGAGUAAAUCAUGAUCGAGUCCCAGCAAGUACAGGGAGGAGGGAAAGGCUGGCAGCAAGCAAGAAGUCUUUCUAUGAAGUUUAAAAAUCAGCAAAGGUUUUAAGAGCUGAUCACCAGAAGCUGCAGCUGUGUUGCAGGUGGCUUAUUUCAAAUCUGAGCCCUGUUUCAAAUCUGUUUGUGUUGUCCUCCCUUCCUUUGAGGAGGGAGAGUGAGAGUGGUAUGGUGGAGCAGAGCUUUCCAUUGGGGUGACCCCACAGCGCCCGCCGUUGUCCUUUACCCAAAGGAUAGAGCUUAAGGAAGAUUUUCUCCCACUUCAUAUUCCAUUGUAAUUAUCACCAGCUUCAUCUGCCACUGUGGUGUGCUGACUUGAUUUGCAUCGAUUCCCCCGAACUGUGCUUAAUUUCUCCAGACACUGCCAACAAGAGUCCUACCUGCAAGUCCCAGCCUUACUGCUCCUCUCCCAAUCAGAUUUUACUCAGUGCAUUAAAAACUCAAUACAUUGCCCUAUUACAGGUUGCUGUGGUCACAACAUGGCCUAGAUUGGAAGAGACCUUCAAGUUUAUCAUUUAGUUCCAACCCCCCAUGGAGUUGCCAACCAAUGAUGGCAGAUGCAAGACUAAAACCAGGCGUUUCUUUGUGCUUUUUGUCUCCCAGCUCCUUUUGGUGCAGCUGUUCCCCAGCUCCGACAGACCGGCUGCUGCUGGGAGAGCACAAGAAAGGAAAAGCCCAUAGCAUGAUGAUGCAGAAAGUAGGAAGCAGAGCCCUCCACCAGCAAAAUGGGAAAGCAGCAUUUCUCUUCCAUAGGGGUUUAGUAAGGGGAAAUUCAGAAAUGACCAAGUUUGAGUGCUGGUAAAGAGGUGAUGGAGGUCAAAGGUGGGAAUGGAGUGGGGAGAAAUACAACAGUUUUUAAAGGGCAGCCAGGGAAGACGUGCAAACACUGAGAGUGUUUUAAAGAAGCAAAGAGAUGAAACCCAGCCUGAAAAAAGCACAUUAAAUGAGAAAAAUUGCAACAACAACAAAAGUGGAGAAUAGGAAGAGAAAAAGAAAAGCCCAAAGGGACCAUAACGCAAUUUUUUCUUUUUACUUACAGCUUCUUCAUUCAAUUUUUUGA